AUACGGGGGGGGCAAGCGUUGUUCGGAAUUACUGGGCGUAAAGGGUUUGUAGGUGGCUUGCUAAGUCAGACGUGAAAUCCCUCAGCUUAACUGGGGAACUGCGUCUGAUACUGGCGAGCUUGAGUGCAGGAGAGGAACGCGGAAUUCCAGGUGUAGCGGUGAAAUGCGUAGAUAUCUGGAGGAACACCGGUGGCGAAGGCGGCGUUCUGGACUGCAACUGACACUGAAAAACGAAAGCCAGGGGAGCAAACGGGA
Molecule: ribosomal RNA, 255 nt
Filed under: uncultured prokaryote
Description: partial 16S ribosomal RNA
Rfam family: Bacterial small subunit ribosomal RNA
Source: RNAcentral